Molecule: ribosomal RNA, 477 nt
Filed under: uncultured bacterium
Lineage: Bacteria
Description: bacterial SSU rRNA
Rfam family: Bacterial small subunit ribosomal RNA
Source: RNAcentral
ACGCUGGCGGCGUGCUUAAUACAUGCAAGUCAACUUGACUUUAGAUAGCAAUAUCGAAAAGUAGGGUGGCGCACGGGUGCGUAACGCGUAGGUAAUCUGCCCUGAGGUCUGACAUAACCCCGUCGAAAAGGCGGGGCUAACAUCCAGAUGAUAUAUAAUCACGACAUCGUGGAAAUAUCAAAUCUUCGGAGCCUUGGGAUGAGCCUGCGUCUGAUUAGGUAGUUGGCGGAGUAAUAGCCCACCAAGCCUACGAUCAGUAGCUGGUCUGAGAGGAUGAUCAGCCACACUGGAACUGAGACACGGUCCAGACUCCUACGGGAGGCAGCAGUAAGGAAUAUUGCUCAAUGGGGGAAACCCUGAAGCAGCAACGCCGCGUGAAGGAUGAAAUACUUUGUAUGUAAACUUCUGUAAGAUGGGAAAAUAUUCUCCUCGGGAGAAUUGAUUGUACCAUCAGAGUAAGCCCCGGCUAACUACGUG